GAGCAGAAAGAGCCCAGCAGUUCAGGGAGACUCUGCUUUGUUCUUUCCAAAACACACAGCCUGGGAAGCUGGCAGGCGGAUCCCACUGAAGCCCUCCAAACCUGGGAGAGAGGGAUGAAGGACCACAGGAGAAGCAGAGACAAAGAACUAAUAGAAUAAUUGGAGUCCGAAGGACCUGUAUAAAGAACAAAGAGAGUCUUCCUGAGCGAGGAUGCCAUGUCCCCUUUCAGUCUGUACUGAGCACUGAGAACAACAUGGCUGCUAAGCUCUGCACCCAGGAAGAUCUUUGAAAUCAGUGCCUGGAGAUCCCAGCAGAGACCAGUGCAUGGUGUACACAUGGUAAGAGACGGUUGCUGCCUCAAAGACUUACAAUCUAAAGAGACAAAAAUGGACAAAGGGUGGGAGAAAAGAAAAUAUUAUCACCUCAUCUUGCAGAACGCCAGCGAUCUGCGGACAUCUAGUAUGUGAAGGGAUGCCUCCCUGUUGUCGGUGUGUGGCUUGGGAAAGAAUACAGGGACAUAGAUUCCGAGUGCCUUUAAUAUCAUACAGGAGUCAUUCUGGGUGUGUAAGGAGAUGUCUGUGCUCUCUGAAAACAAUUUUAGCCCCUUGAAAGUUAAGUCUUCUACAGUCAUCUGAACUUCCCUGGGGAAGCCGGAGAGAUGGAACCAUGAAGCACUCCGCAUGACAACGGAUGUGGCGAUGGAGCAGGCCGCUGUGUUAGCAGAAUCCAGAGAAGCCUGCAGGGCCGUUAUGGCAAUGAGGAAACCUUCAGCUAUAUCUGCCUUAUAUUGUUCUUUUUUGUCAGCUGUAAUGUGCUCAAUAAAAGAUGACAUCUG
Molecule: long non-coding RNA, 836 nt
Organism: Mauremys mutica (yellowpond turtle)
Lineage: Eukaryota; Metazoa; Chordata; Testudines; Geoemydidae
Exons: 5
Source: RefSeq, a predicted model, not a curated record